UAAAAUAAGUAUUUCCUACGCAAUCCUUGAGAUCGAUACUUGGAGAUAAAACUCCUUAUUACUACAUCGGUAAAAAUAGUACACUUGCUAUUUUUCCGACCAAUUUGCACAGUUAGAAUGUAUCAAACUAUAAUUUAUUAUAAAAAAUAAGCAAAAGAAAAUAAAAAAAAAAUCAAAUUUAAACUUAACUUCAAAAACAUAUUAAGAACAAUUAAAAUAAUGCAAGUUUUAAAAUUGUCUUAGCACACAGUAAAAUAUAAUGUAUUAAAAUACAUUUAUCAAUGUAAGACCAUAG
Molecule: long non-coding RNA, 295 nt
Filed under: Lathyrus oleraceus (garden pea)
Lineage: Eukaryota; Viridiplantae; Streptophyta; Magnoliopsida; Fabales; Fabaceae
Description: Pisum sativum (pea) long non-coding RNA (PSAT_LNC011160)
Source: RNAcentral